This is a non-coding RNA of Pelobates cultripes (western spadefoot toad), 308 nucleotides long. Lineage: Eukaryota; Metazoa; Chordata; Amphibia; Anura; Pelobatidae. The record is from the annotation of a GenBank genome assembly.
CAUAUACUUUGGUUAUUUUUCUUGUGACAAAUUAUUUCCAGAAUUGCUUUUAGGCUCCAGUCUUGAGACCUUCAAAUUUUCUGCUGAACCCUGAAGUGAUUUUGCCUAUUUCCCAGAUACAUGAUUGCCCAGUACUUUUAAAGAUACAAACAGAUGUUGCCCAGUCACUGGGUGUCUGGUAUCUGUGAGGACUCAGAGGAACUUUCCACACUGGCUUCCUGCAGCACCAUGAAGGAGACAUAGCACCUGCUGGAACCUGCUUUCAUACUCUUAUUUGGAACGCUGUGGAACCUGGAGAAUGUUCUGAU